Molecule: long non-coding RNA, 1455 nt
Filed under: Nicotiana benthamiana
Lineage: Eukaryota; Viridiplantae; Streptophyta; Magnoliopsida; Solanales; Solanaceae
Description: long non-coding RNA (NBEN_LNC018965)
Source: RNAcentral
AACUGAUUUGACUUUUUUAAGAAGAAAGACCAAACAUAAUAAACUAAUGAGAGUCCAAGGAUAUCCAGAAGUUAUAAUAGGAUUCAGAUUCAUUGGGAGGUCCCUUUGAAACGCAAGCGCCCAAUAUGUGACCAACAACAGAACUAUAUGGUAAAUUAUAUAUUUGCUGAAACAAGCUUCCAGCUACACAAGAAUAAACUUGGAUACAAUCAAUGAGACUAGAGCCUAUACCAAUUUGUUUGAACAAUGGUCUAAAUUGACACGCGCUCAAACCACUGCCAUGGCAUAAUACAAUCCAAAAUCUAAUAGUUUUAACUUAUCCGACUAAAAGAACACAAUCCUUGAUUUAUACCCAAUAUAACGUCUAAAAUACUUUUUUAACCAUCUGUAUUCUACCACGAUCAAACCAAGCCUUAAAACAAAAAAGGGAUGCAUACAAGAAGCUAAGCUAAAAUACAGAUGACAAAAGUAAUCACUAGAACUGAUAUUUUCAUUCAAAUUCAAUUAGGUCACUGAUCUUUGUGCAAGUCUUAUCUGGCUUCAUUUUUGGCAUGGUUAUAGAGGACACCUGGAAAUCAAAAUAGAAAAAAAGAGUGAGGAAUCGGCCAAGCAGCAACACGAUAGCAGAAACCAGCACAAAAAAAAAUCGGCUCAAACCAGAAAAAUUAAUGCAAAGCAGUAAAAACAAAUAGUCUCAAUGAAUAGUGACCACAAUAACUUCAAACCAAAAUUUAGAAUCCAAAUUCAAUCCAUUUCUACACUAAAUGAAUCAUAAAUUCUUCAACAAAUUGAAAACUUUAAAAAAUCACAAAAGAAGUUUUGAUGAAAUGGUGAUUCUGUUGAAAAUGAGAGGGACAUGUAAACAAAAACGAGCAGAAAAGAGAAGAAACAGAAGGGUGUGAGUAUACGAAUACACAGAAGAUGGAGACCAAAGAGGCAACAACAGAAAUACCUAGGAAAUCGCAUGGACAGAACUUGGCCAAGCUCAGGCAAAUUCGACUUGACAUGAAACUGGUAUUACAAGCGUGUUCUCUUUGAGAACAGAUGAACAAUACUAGUCUCGAACCGCAUCAUUCCUAGAAAACGUGAUAGCUUGCCGAACUGUCUCCUUCUUUGUUUUCAGAUUUUAUUUGGACUUGGUUUAGUAAGGAUUUGGGGGGAAAUAGUGGUAUAUAGGGAUUAAGGGAAUGGUGAUGGUUGCAUGGCUGGAUUUUGGGUGGUGUUCGAGCUCCACCGCCGGUCGAAAAUGGCAAAGAGAUGGAAGAAGACGUUAGGAUUUGCCGAAGAAGGUGAGAGACAGAGGAGAGUCAUUUGAACUUGACCGUCUUUGAAGUUUUCGGACAGUCUUAAGUGAAUAAUGAGAUAUGCUUUGGACCGUUAGAUGAAACAAAAUGAAGGGACCAGAUUUGUCGAGCUCAAACAGCGUCGUUUGGUUUGAAGAUGGAAUUGGACAGG